UCCAUCCCAGGACUCUGAGAUCAAGACCUGAGCCACAGGCAGAUGCUUAACUGACUGAGCCACCCAGGAUUUAUCCUUUUUAGGCCUAAAAGUGUUCUUUUCUCUUUACAGAUCCUAGAAAACUGAUGCUCAGAGCAGGAAAGUGACCACACACAGCCAGUCGGUGGCAGUCUCAGAAUGAGCAGCUGGAUAUCCUGAUGCACUUCUUCUGCAAUUCAGCUGGGACAACCAGAUUGACCUGGUGGAUCUGGGGGCAAAGAGCAAACACGACCUGAUUCAUUCAUGGUGCCUGAAGAAUACAGCCCUCCAGAAAAAAGCAUCUUCUCAGAAUCCUCUGUACUUUGGCUUUCCUAUCCUUGCUGGUACUGAAACUCCUUCAGGCGACUCUUUUAGGGGUACAGCUCCAAUCCAAUAGACAAAGUGGACACCAUGCCAAUGGGAACACCAUCUUUUCUCCUUACUCCCCUCCACAUUGGAUCCUGGCCAUUUCAGACACCUUCAUAAAACCACAGGGCACCUUGCAAUAAUUCAGGAGCCCAUUACACAGCAGGCCGACUCCACAGGCAGGCCCUCCCCUGCUCUGACGUAGCACGCCCGGCCAUUUCACUGCUCAUUAGCCCCUUUUCCAGAGAGUGAGCAGAGAAAACAAGAGGAGAUAAAAUUCAAACCCAUCCGUUUGCCUCCUAUUAGCUGCUGUAGUUAAAAGUUUAAUGGAGGAGCAGGCUGGAAUGAUUAAUUAAUAUAAAGUUUAAAGAGUGUCUCUGAAGCUCAUUUGUUUAAGCUCUUCCUUUCCUCCCGAAUCACCUAUGGUACACGAUGCGCUGGCCGCAGGACUGGGAUCCAGUCGGCCAGAGGGAAGAUGAUCAUGGCAAGGGGCUGAGGAAAGAAAACUGACAUUAGAUUUUCUUUCUACCAAAUCCAAAACUUUAUGUUAUCUCAUACAGCCUUUUUGAGUUUUUUAAUUAAAUUAGAAAAAAAAACUA
Callorhinus ursinus (northern fur seal) is the source of this 983-nucleotide long non-coding RNA. RefSeq lists it as uncharacterized. NCBI's taxonomy places the organism in Eukaryota, Metazoa, Chordata, Mammalia, Carnivora, Otariidae. The record is from RefSeq and is a predicted model, not a curated record.